AGUACCCUUAGGAAAAGAAAUCAACCGAGAUUCCCCUAGUAGCGGCGAGCGAACGGGGAGCAGCCCUUAAGCUGUUUAGAAUUUAGUGGAAUCCUUUGGGAAGAGGAGCGAUACAAGGUGAUAGCCCUGUACACGACGGAUUCUUUACAGUGAAAUCGAGUAGGUCGGGACACGUGUUAUCUUGACUGAAUAUGGGGGGACCAUCCUCCAAGGCUAAAUACUCCUGACUGACCGAUAGUGAACCAGUACCGUGAGGGAAAGGCGAAAAGAACCCCUGUGAGGGGAGUGAAAUAGAACCUGAAACCGUAUACGUACAAGCAGUGGGAGCCCUUCGGGGUGACUGCGUACCUUUUGUAUAAUGGGUCAGCGACUUAUAUUUAGUAGCAAGGUUAAGUGAAUAACGGAGCCGUAGCGAAAGCGAGUGUUAACUGCGCGUUUAGUUGCUAGGUAUAGACCCGAAACCCGGUGAUCUAGCCAUGAGCAGGUUGAAGGUUGAGUAACAUCAACUGGAGGACCGAACCCACUAACUUUGAAAAGUUAGGGGAUGACUUGUGGCUGGGGGUGAAAGGCCAAUCAAACCGGGAGAUAGCUGGUUCUCCCCGAAAUCUAUUUAGGUAGAGCCUCGGACGAAUUCCAUUGGGGGUAGAGCACUGUUAAGGCUAGGGGGUCAUCCCGACUUACCAACCCUUUGCAAACUCCGAAUACCAAUGAGAACUAUCCGGGAGACACACGGCGGGUGCUAACGUCCGUCGUGGAGAGGGAAACAACCCAGACCGCCAGCUAAGGUCCCCAAGUACCAGUUAAGUGGGAAACGAUGUGGGAAGGCUCAGACAGCUAGGAGGUUGGCUUAGAAGCAGCCAUCCUUUAAAGAAAGCGUAAUAGCUCACUGGUCGAGUCGGCCUGCGCGGAAGAUAUAACGGGGCUAAGUAUUGUGCCGAAGCUGCGGAUGCAAUUUAUUGCAUGGUAGAGGAGCGUUCUGUAAGCCUGUGAAGGUGGAUCGUAAGGUCUGCUGGAGGUAUCAGAAGUGCGAAUGCUGACGUGAGUAACGAUAAUGCGGGUGAAAAACCCGCACGCCGAAAACCCAAGGUUUCCUGCGCAACGCUAAUCGGCGCAGGGUGAGUCGGCCCCUAAGGCGAGGGCGAAAGCCGUAGUCGAUGGGAAACUGGUUAAUAUUCCAGUACUUUUGAUAACUGCGAUGGGGUGACGAAGAAGGUUAGGUGGGCCUGGCGAUGGUUGUCCAGGUUCAAGCAUGUAGGCUGGUUUCUUAGGUAAAUCCGGGAAAUCAAGGCCGAGAUGCGAUGUCGAGCUCUCUUUUGAGCGAAGCCAUUGAUACCACGCUUCCAGGAAAAGCCUCUAAGCUUCAGGUUAUUGAAAACCGUACCCCAAACCGACACAGGUGGGUGGGAUGAGAAUUCUAAGGCGUUUGAGACAACUCGGGUGAAGGAACUCGGCAAAAUGGUACCGUAACUUCGGGAGAAGGUACGCCCCUGCCGGUGAUGAGACUUGCUCUCUAAGCUAGUGGGGGUUGCAGUGACCAGUUGGCUGCGACUGUUUAGCAAAAACACAGCACUCUGCAAACACGAAAGUGGACGUAUAGGGUGUGACGCCUGCCCGGUGCCGGAAGGUUAAUUGAUGCUGUUAGACUUUGUCGAAGCGGUUGAUCGAAGCCCCGGUAAACGGCGGCCGUAACAAUAACGGUCCUAAGGUAGCGAAAUUCCUUGUCGGGUAAGUUCCGACCUGCACGAAUGGCGUAACGAUGGGGGCGCUGUCUCUACCCGAGACUCAGUGAAAUUGAAAUCGCCGUGAAGAUGCGGUGUAUCCGCGGCUAGACGGAAAGACCCCGUGAACCUUUACUAUAGCUUCACAGUGAACUUUGAGCAUGUUUGUGUAGGAUAGCUGGGAGGCUUUGAAGUGGGAACGCCAGUUCUCAUGGAGCCAACCUUGAAAUACCAGCCUGACAUGUUUGAGGUUCUAACUUGGUCCCCUUAUCGGGGAUGAGGACACUGUGUGGUGGGUAGUUUGACUGGGGCGGUCUCCUCCCAAAUUGUAACGGAGGAGCACGAAGGUACACUAAGUAUGGUCGGACAUCAUACGGUUAGUGCAAUGGCAAAAGUGUGCUUGACUGCGAGACAGACACGUCGAGCAGGUACGAAAGUAGGUCAUAGUGAUCCGGUGGUUCUGUAUGGAAGGGCCAUCGCUCAACGGAUAAAAGGUACGCCGGGGAUAACAGGCUGAUGAUGCCCAAGAGUCCAUAUCGACGGCAUUGUUUGGCACCUCGAUGUCGGCUCAUCACAUCCUGGGGCUGAAGUCGGUCCCAAGGGUAUGGCUGUUCGCCAUUUAAAGUGGUACGCGAGCUGGGUUUAGAACGUCGUGAGACAGUUCGGUCCCUAUCU
This 2393-nucleotide ribosomal RNA is filed under the name Symbiodinium sp. CCMP2430. RNAcentral's name for it is "partial Bacterial large subunit ribosomal RNA". It matches the Rfam family "Bacterial large subunit ribosomal RNA", at positions 205 to 2643 of the family's 2925-position model. Lineage: Eukaryota; Dinophyceae; Suessiales; Symbiodiniaceae. The record is from RNAcentral.